GACGAACGCUGGCGGCGUGCUUAACACAUGCAAGUCGAACGGUAAGGCCCUUCGGGGUACACGAGUGGCGAACGGGUGAGUAACACGUGGGUGAUCUGCCCUGCACUUCGGGAUAAGCCUGGGAAACUGGGUCUAAUACCGGAUAGGACUCCGGACUGCAUGGUCUGGGGUGGAAAGCGUUUGCGGUGUGGGAUGGGCCCGCGGCCUAUCAGCUUGUUGGUGGGGUGAUGGCCUACCAAGCGACGACGGGUAGCCGGCCUGAGAGGGUGACCGGCCACACUGGGACUGAGAUACGGCCCAGACUCCUACGGGAGGCAGCAGUGGGGAAUAUUGCACAAUGGGCGCAAGCCUGAUGCAGCGACGCCGCGUGAGGGAUGACGGCCUUCGGGUUGUAAACCUCUUUCAGCACAGACGAAGCGCAAGUGACGGUAGUAGCAGAAGAAGGACCGGCCAACUACGUGCCAGCCGCCGCAGUAA
RNAcentral lists this ribosomal RNA (477 nucleotides) under uncultured bacterium. Its description in RNAcentral is "partial 16S ribosomal RNA". It matches the Rfam family "Bacterial small subunit ribosomal RNA", at positions 28 to 523 of the family's 1533-position model. The record is from RNAcentral.